Molecule: ribosomal RNA, 88 nt
Filed under: uncultured eukaryote
Lineage: Eukaryota
Description: partial 16S ribosomal RNA
Source: RNAcentral
CCUGAUAAAAGAGGUUUACAACCCGUAGGCAUUCUUCCCUCACGCGGUAUUGCUCCGUCAGGCUUUCGCCCAUUGCGGAAAAUUCCCA